RNAcentral lists this ribosomal RNA (253 nucleotides) under uncultured bacterium. RNAcentral's name for it is "partial 16S ribosomal RNA". It matches the Rfam family "Bacterial small subunit ribosomal RNA", at positions 524 to 776 of the family's 1533-position model. The record is from RNAcentral.
UACGUAGGGUGCAAGCGUUAAUCGGAAUUACUGGGCGUAAAGCGUGCGCAGGCGGUUCUAUAAGACAGAUGUGAAAGCCCCGGGCUCAACCUGGGAAUGGCGGUUGAAACUGGCGAACUUGAAUCUGGCAGAGGGGGGUGGAAUUCCACGUGUAGCAGUGAAAUGCGUAGAGAUGUGGAGGAACACCGAUGGCGAAGGCAGCCCCCUGGGCUGAGAUUGACGCUCAGGCACGAAAGCGUGGGGAGCAAACAGG